AAAUACGUAAAGGAAUUACUGAUUUUCCAACCAUAUGUCUAUUAUCUGUAAUUUUAAGCCUACACACAUGCUCUGCUAAUGAGCUUACACAGCUUUCAUCGUUCUUUCAAAGAAGUAGUAAAAAAAAUCAGCUGUCUGGGAGUAAUGGUGAUACAUUUCUAAGGAAAUCUGGGGGAGGCCAAUGAGAAGCCGUGAUAAUGCUGGUAGCAGAGGUAUUUUCCAGAAUUGCAUGUUACAAUCUUUAUUAUAGAACAAAAAAUUAUGUCUUAGAUGCUUGAUUAAAAGGUACUUAGGAGUAUGAGGCAAUGAUAAAGGAAAGAGUCUGCAAGGGAAGACUGAAUGUGUGAUGUGCAGACCGUCAUUACAGGAUUUUUUUUUCCUACAGACCAUCUGUGCUAUAAGAAGGUUUGUAUCCUCAAGACAGCCAUAAUUCACACUAGUGUCAUGAUACAAGCUACAACCAACAAUACUAGAAAGGUUAUGUCAGCAUCCAUGUCACAUGAAGAAAUGCAUUGAAAGACUACUGACAGACCUGGAGGAUUACAAUCAGGAUCCCUGAUCCCAGCCCUUCCUGGAUCAAAAAGCUGGAUCAAAAAGCUUCCCAAUCUCCCAAAUCAUGCACCAAAGGUUUUACAGUUCUUGAAGUGAAGUGGAAGUCUUUGCACCUGUCAAGACCUGUGUUAGCUGAUGAAAUCACCCAGCACACCAAGGCCAGGAGCGGCACUCCCUGCCCUGCCAAUGCCAGCUGCUGUAGCCAAGGAAACUCAGCUCAGGCCCUCAGGGACUGAACUCAGCAUUUGGCAGGGAACAGAGGAGGAUUUGAAUUUUGCUAUAAAAGGUGGUUUGUAUUUUAGUCUAGACAUGCUUCUAUUCAUGCUUUAGGAUAUUAAAGAAAUUCUGGUGUUAUUUGUAUUCCAUGUCAUUUAAUUUUAAAAUUUCACUAGGGUAGUGCUACAGAUAUAAAAUAUUAUUGCUUUCAAGAAGGACAAGCAAGUUUCUCUCUAUGCACUAAAAGCCUGAUAUGGCAGUUUUGACAUCCUGGAGAAGACAAGAAAGGUAAACUAACCCUUAAAACUCACUCAGAUCUAUUCUUAGCUCUAGACAUUUGUUAGCACCUGAAAGUAUCCCAGACAUUCUUUUAGUUUAUUAGAUUUCACUUCAAGGCAGGCCAAAUGUCAAAAAGGGUUUUUAAUCCCCUAAAUAUGUUGCUUGCAAGUAUUUCACAGAUACCAGAGCUUGCUCCUGAUGGUGAUUGUUCCAAAAGUUCUGCUUUACACAAAUUAAAGUCAGGGUUUUCAUGCACCUGUUCAUGUGGAGAUGUCAUAGAUCUUGGGAUAUUAGAUUUUCCAGAAAUGAUAAAUAUCUGAGGAGUGCUUAGUAUUGGAAAAACAAAUAAAUUUCUGAAGUGUCUGUGAAGACUGCCCUAUGUCCCCAGUUUAGAAGACAUUUUUAAUCAAAUUGUAACUCAAAGUUCAAAUUGUAACUCACUUUACUGAUGAAAGUGUUUCUUUACUGAUUUUAAGUGCAUAUAUUUUGUUGUGUAUUUCAGCUUGCCUUGGAACAGAUGAUUCUUAGCUGAAUUUUUUUAAGUGCUACUCGUUAAAGAGCUCUGGUAUAAUGGUUUGGAGUGGGCUUUUUUUUUUUUUCACAAAUCAAUAAAACUACUUGGAAAGAUAAGCAUCAUUCCUCCCUUUUGAGUUCUGAAAAACAAAGAUACUGCUGAAAAGUAAAGUAACUUCCAAGUCAUGGAUGGUAUCAGUCACAAACCCUGAUUCUCAACUUUUAUUGUUGAUAAUGAAAGUACUAGUUAUGGUAAAAUAUAACUAUGGUAAAAAUCCAGUUUAAGUGGCUCAGUUCACCCUAGUCAAACCAGCAUGUAUUUUCAGCAAUUAGAGUGACUGCAGGAAUGCAACAGGUUAACCUGAAUGUUACUUCAAAACAAAAAUCCCAGUGGAAAUGCAAUUGAGCCUGCACAUAACAAAACGAAGCUAGGUAGUACAAGGUAACAUUGAAACAUUUUGAAGAAAAAUUCAGGGCAUUCCUUCCUUCUAGGAGUCAUCACCAAUACCAAGAAAUAAAUGGAAGCUGAUUUCAGCUACAGGCUGACAAGCAUCCAUGUCAGGGUUCACAUCAUGAAGUUCACUGCUCAGGUACAGUUCAAAGCCUAAUUAAGCUUUCAAAAUCUUCUUGUUAGGAAAAAUUUAAUUGUCAUAGAAUGUGUUGGCUUCCUGACUGGAGUGGAAAAUGAAAGCCCCGAUGAGUCAGUAUGGGGAGAGAGAGGAAGGCUCCUUUGCACCACUCCUAUCGCUGUGACUCAGAACUGUGCUUUGAAUUUGUCAGCUCCAGGAAGGAUGAGGUAGUGCAGUCUCCCUGUUCAUUUAAUUGAAAGUCUGUGAAAAGUCACAGGGUGAGAGUCUAAACCCCUCCUGUCUGCUAAGAAACAGUGGGACAUUUCCAGUUCAUUUCACUCAGGGCAAGGAAGAGACACCAGGAGCUUAAGACUUCUGGUUGUUACUAACACACACAGAGAACCCCGUGUUCCCUUUGUAAAAACUCAGAGCAAUGUGAGCAUCAGUAUUAAAUGUUCUUCAGGAUCUUCUAGAUUAUGUAACACAAAGUGCAAACUGGCUUCAAGUAGGCUGGUCCCAAAGCUAGAGUGUUGGAAAGAAGAGCUCAUGGAGUAAUUUAUGUUGGAAGGAACCUCUGGAGUCAUCUGGUCCAAAUGCUUUGCCCUAAGUCAGCUCCAUUUCCUAAAUUAGAUCAGGUUGCUCAGGGUGGAAUAUCUGCAGUUGCUCACCACAGAGUAAUCCCAUAAUGGGAAAGGGUGCAGAGAUCCCCUUGGGCUGGCAGAGAUUUUUAUCAUCCAUUUCAAAUGUGAUGGAGAAGAGUGCUACUCCUUAAUUAUGAACAUGUGUUUCAUGAAGGAAGACUUGCUGGAGUUACAAAUGUCAUAGGGAGAAUUAUUAUCUGUUUUGAUACAAAAUAAAUGUAAACUUUUGAUGCAGUAACAGAUUACCACGUAUAUAACACUGUUUUUGGAAGCUUAAUCUUAUUCCAAGGAAAGAGGCACAAAUUUGGCUGAAAAAUUAAUAAAAUUUCAUUAAUACUCUGAUUUGAAAUAAUAAGACAUAACUUUAAAAACUCAAAUUAACACAUAUAUUCCAAAGCACUUUAAAGCAUUAAGGCUGAAAGUAUUAAUAUAAUCUAAGAAGGCCAAAUCCUUGAAUAAGCACAGACCUGUUUUUUCCUGACACUAUCAACACUUGAGUUCCUUGUCUCUUGCUUUACUUGGCUCUUUCUUCUAUUUUUCAUCACUAGUGCUGAGUGUUUAUCACUUUACAAUGCUACAGUACUGCAGAGAUUGCAGAAGAAUAUUUGAAUCUAACAAGGCAUGUAUGCUUGGAAUUUAAAAAGAAUACUAAUAUAGAGAUAUUUUAGCUCAUCAUGUCUUAGAAAAGAUUUUCUUAAUUCUCAUUGAAGGCAUUUUGCUUUAGCAUAAAAUAUAGAUUCUUUCUAUAGUUAUCUUCCAUAUGCAGCCACCUUUAGUUAUUUCACAAAUAAGCAUUUAUGUGCUGUUACUAUAAAUGCCAUUCAGAAAGCCAACAAGUCAGCAAGUAGAGGAAGUGCUCUGAUUGGACAGGAAAUAUGGAAAUGAGGUUUUACUAAUGAUGUAAGCUUACUAGAGAUAGCUGCAACUACUUGCAAACUGCUGAAUUAAAAAAACCCAAAACAACGAAACCAACAAAAACCUAAACCAAAUAAACCAAAAAACCCAACUGAAAACGAGCCAAGACAGCAGCUGUUAUCGCAGUUUUUCCAUUUCCAGGAAAUGUUAUCAAUAUCAGAUGUAAUCCUUUCUAAGCCCAGAUUUUGGGGUAUUUUGCUGUUUGUUUUUUUGUAAUAGAAGAAGGAAAAAGAAAUCACAGGUUUUGUAACAAAAUUUAUUAGCAAACAUAUGAAUGUGGUAAAAAAUUAAGAGAAUAAUUUUUCCUUUUUUUAAGUACUUAAACUUAUCCAAUUAAUUUAGACUUUGAAGUUUGCCUAUGUUAGUGCUACAGAUCAAUAUCAAACAAAGUAGAGCUAAAUAAUCUUAGAUAAAUAGUAUGCUCAACAGGGGAAUGGAAUUUGGAGGCUGGCAUCUAAUUGGCCUUGGAACAACGUUUACUAUUGCAAAACAAUAUAUUAGUCACAAAUCAUGCUUAACAUGCAACAAGACUUGCACCACUUAUGUGAAUCUGAUGUUCUGCCAGUUGUUUUAGAUGUAUAUAAGCUAGUACAAUGUAAAUAAUAUUUUUUUAGUUGGAAAUCAUGUUUGUGUGUGCGAAAUUUGCAUAGCUUUGCUGGACUGAUGUGAAAUAUGUUUGUUCAUCCCAUUAAUUUCUCAUCCAAAUAUAGCAUCGUUAAUGCAAAAGGAAUUAAAACCAUGAAAAAAACAAAUCUUUGCAUGUGUGUGGAAUAAACAUUAUCUACUUUUUAAUGUAAUUCAAAGUGACAAACCUGAAAGUCCUCAAGUGCUUCAAAGAUCACUGAUUUCAAUAUGAAACACAAUCCUAAACCAGCCAAUUUUUGACAUUGAGUUACAUACAUAUUUAAACCUAAGAUGCUUAGCAAUCCGUCCUCCUUCCACCAAUGGAAGUUUUUUAUUAAUGCAACCAAAAUGCUUUUAAGGGGGAACCCUAUGUUUUUCUUCACAAGUAAGAAGCUCAGUAAUCCAAUACUUUGUGUUCAUAACUGCUGCUAUGUUUGUACAUCUGCCAUGUACUAAGGGAAUUGGUUGUGUCUAAUUUUGCUGUUCAAAGCCAUUACCAUCUAAAGGGUCUAUUUGGUCUCCCUUGCCCAUCAAAAAUUGCAUGGAGAACUAAAUGGCUUCCAUGACUGCUUUCCUAACUUUGUGACAGAAGGGUGAACCCUUUGAGGGAAGUUUCACCUCAACAUGAGGAAAAAAUUAGAACUCCUUUCCCUUGAGGGUUGCAGAGCACUGGAACAGAGGCUGCCACAGGUGGCCACAGAGUCUCCCUGUCUGGAGACAUCCCAAACCCACCUGGACACGUUCCUGGGUCACCUGCUCUGGGUGACCCUGCCUUGGCAGGUGGGGUUGGAUUAUGUGGUCUCCUUUCCAACCAUACCUACUCUGUGAUUCUGUGGAAUACAACCAUAUAAAAAUAGGUCAAUGCAUUAAAAAUUUCUCAUCAAAAUUAUGGGAGCAAGAGGUUAGAUAUGCCUAUAGGUUGCUGAAUAUGCCUAAAGCUGCCAGUUUUCUAGUUUCACUGUUCCCUAAUUAAGCUAAACAAGCAAGAGCCUGAAGUCAACAGAGGGUGUUUUAGCAGUGACUUGAGAAAGGACAAGGAGAUGAAAGCUAUGAAUGACUCUGUGGAUUUGCCAAGAUUUCUUUCAUCGCGGUUGGACAAGGACAGAAUUUAUGCAGUUUAAGGGACAGCUAGCACUGAAACUGGAAUGUGCUAUCUUAUCCUCAAGCCAGAUGUAAAGGAACACCCUGCUCCACAGGUAUCAGUACUAUAAGGAUUAGGAUAUCUCCUUUUGGUGUGUCUUUAUACAUAAAUAUAUUUAUAUAAAUGUAAAUGAAUUGGGUAAUCUGAUUACUGUUCCUUUGUUUUUGCAGUUGAAUUAAUGAAUAUUAUAGAUUAAAAAAAAAAGCCUUCCCUUUAUGUGGAUUUGCUUUCUUUUUAUGAAGGACAUAAAAAUAAAUACUUAUCAAAAGCUAGUUAACAGCUAUUCAUUUUACAUUAGGAAAAGCAUAGAUUUGAAUUCAUAACAACUUUUCAAGCAAACACAAAAAAAGACAGUUUUUAUACAACUAAAAUGUAUUAUAAUGUGUAGUCUUACAGGAAUGCAAAACAGAUAAAAAGAGAAAGGAAAUUGUGUCCCUUAGGUGUGGUAUUUCUGCAGAUUCACAGCUUUUGAAUUGGACCACAGACUGCUGUUUCAUCUCCUAUGUUGUUUAAUGCUAAUGGCUGCAGUGAGUUUACAGGUGUCUGACCCAACUCUGCAGCUUCAGUGCUGAACUGGUACCAUGGAAGCACUACCUCAAGAUUAAGAGAAAAUUCUGCAUCAGAAAAAUAUCCCUGCACAUUUUUGGACAACAGCAGCUAGAGCAGAAUGAUGAUUUUGAAGGAAAUGAUGAUGUUAUUUUAAGGGAAAAUAAUAACAUACAUUAAUCUCAAUAAAAUCAUGUGAAGAAAAUUCAUGGGUCACCAAGAAA
Molecule: long non-coding RNA, 6220 nt
Organism: Parus major (Great Tit)
Lineage: Eukaryota; Metazoa; Chordata; Aves; Passeriformes; Paridae
Exons: 3
Source: RefSeq, a predicted model, not a curated record